This is a long non-coding RNA of Alosa sapidissima (American shad), 378 nucleotides long. RefSeq lists it as uncharacterized. The transcript has 3 exons. The record is from RefSeq and is a predicted model, not a curated record. Lineage: Eukaryota; Metazoa; Chordata; Actinopteri; Clupeiformes; Clupeidae.
CGCAUCUGACGCGUGCGAGCAGAAUCGAGUGCUGUCAUGCAUGUAGAAGACCGCAGGGGGUAACUGCCAUAAUAAACAACGGACAGUAGCGUCCUUCGACUCCAUUCAGAAAAGGUUUUGGACACUCUUUCUUUUAUUAGGCUACAUCUUUUAUCAUCGCAGGUAGAUAUGAGAGCGAAGGCAUAGACUGUCACGCGGCGGUACCGAGCGAAUAUGCACUAAUAUGGACUGGAGACCAACACGAGAUGAGCAGCAGCGAGAAACUGAAAGGCACUAUGGUGGGCCGACCGAAGAGCAUGGUUGACAUUGAGUGAUUUGUCAUGUGGAGACAGACAAAGGACCCCCCCCUGCACACACACAGCCCUCAGAGAGUUUGAG